CUUCUCUUAGAGCUGCUGCCGCCUCUGCUAGGGUUCCAGAGCGCACCUUCUGUUCACAUUCCGCUUAACUCCGUUCUUGACCCACCUCUGUGAUCUCCUCCUAGAGUUGUGGUACUCCGCUGUUCUGUGUCGGGACACUUUAAACUAGCUUGUUCCAGGAGCAGAUGGACGAGAUUCUCGUGACCAACAAGGAAAUGGAGAUUUCGCUGCCUAGUCCGCGUGGAUUGGACUAUAGCUUCCUUUGGACUUUUCUUUAGGGCUAUGGCCCCUGUAUUUCACUGUUCUUGGAUUUGUAAACUUUUAGUCA
Molecule: long non-coding RNA, 307 nt
Organism: Vigna unguiculata (cowpea)
Lineage: Eukaryota; Viridiplantae; Streptophyta; Magnoliopsida; Fabales; Fabaceae
Source: RefSeq, a predicted model, not a curated record